This is a non-coding RNA of Callithrix jacchus (white-tufted-ear marmoset), 10345 nucleotides long. Lineage: Eukaryota; Metazoa; Chordata; Mammalia; Primates; Cebidae. The record is from RefSeq and is a predicted model, not a curated record.
CAACUUUCUUUCUUUCUUUCUAAAGCCGGGAGCAAGAUUGAUUCAUUUCAUUGACUCCUUCAGAAGAGAUUUAUUGAGCACAAAGUAUGUGCCAGGCCCAUUUAUAGUAACUGAAGUUACAGCAGCUACACUGCCCUUCUGUUGGAAGUCAAUCUAAAUAAAAACUGAACAAGUAACAAGUAUAGAGAGUAUUAUGUAAGAAAGCGGAGUGCAGGCAGAUACUACCUUGUGAAUGAAUCUGCGAAAGCUUCUUGGAGGAAGUGUGUCUAACCUGAAAUCUGAUACAUGAGUAAACAUUAACUCGGUGAAGGUGAAGGUUGGAAGGAUGAGGAGACCUUUAAGCAGUGUAGACCUGUGUGAAAACUCUGAGGCAGGUGAGAACAGUGUCUUAAGACAGUGACAUGACCAGAUUUGUGUUAUUUGCAAGAUCCUUCUGGCAACAAUAUGGAGAAAGGUUUGAAAGGGAAAGCAGUGGAUGUGGGAAGAGCCAUUCUGAAUAGGACAAGUAGAUGCAAGUGGGUUUAACAACAAUGAUAAUGAUAACGAAUACUUAUAUAGCACUUACAUGCAGGAUCUGUAUCAAGUGUUUUACAUAUAUUAACUGGCAUAGCCUUCACAGCAACUCUGGGAUAGUUUCUUUUUUCAUCCCCAUUUUCCAGUGGGAAACCAGAAGCACAAAGAGAGUAGGUGGCUUUCCUAAGAACCCACAGGUAGAAAGUAGAAAAGGGUGGAGCUAGGAUUCAGACUUCAUCUUCCAGUGUUCAUCUGUUCACCGCUACACAGAAAAGUAGAAGAGAUCAAGUUGGGGGUUGAACUGUGUCCCUCAAACAGAUGUAUUGAAUUCCUAACCCUUGAUACCUAUAAAGGUGACCUUGUUUGGAAACAGGGUCUCUUUGCAGAUGUAAUCAAGUUAAGAGAAGAUCAUACUGGAUUAGGGUGGGCGUUAGAUCCAAUGACUGGUGCCCUUAUAAAAAAAGAGAUUUGGAGACACACAGAUGCACACACAGAAGACCAUGUGACAACCGAGGCAGAGAUUGGAGUGAUGCAUAUAUUAGACAAGGUAUACCAAGGAUUUCCAGCAACUUCUGGAUGUUAAGAGAGAGGCAUGGAUGAGAUUAUCCUUCAAAGCCUCCAGAAGGAACCAACCCUGCUCACGCCCUGAUUUCAGAGUUUUAGCCUCCAGAAUUACGAGAAAAUUUAUGUUAAGCCACCCAGUUUGUGCUGCUUUGUUAUGGUAGCCCUAGGAAUCUAAUGUAGAUCAGAAGGUAUUUUAAAAAUAAGAGGCUGGGCACCGUGGCUCACACCUGUAAUCCUGGCACUUUAGGAGGCCAAGGUGGGCAGAUCACUUGAGGUCCUGAGUUUGAGACCACCCUGGAUUUCACCAUGUUGUGAACAUGGUGAAAUCCAGUCUCUGCUCAAAAUACAGAAAUUAGCAGGGUAUGAUGGUGGGUGCCUGUAAUCCCAGCUACUCAGGAGGCUGAGGCAGGAGAAUCACUUGUACCCUGGAGGUGGAGGUUGCGGUGAGCUGAGAUCACGCCACUGCACUCCAGCCUGGGCAACAAGAGGAAAACUUCCAUCUCAAAAAAAAAAAAGAAAGAAACCGCUACAAACUGUUAGAAUGGUCCAGAAAUACUAAUACUUUUCCCUCUAGAACUUUGUCUUCCACAUUUUGUCUUCUCUACAGAGGCAGCAUAGAAAUAUUUUGCCCACGCAUGUGUUUUGAAUUUGGACCCCAAACUAAGGGAAGACACUACAUUGGCUUGUCUAAGUUGAUAAGCUGUUGUUUAAAAAUAUCUAAAUAGGCAGCCCCCGAGUCAAAGCCGGUUCCCGGCCCAGUCCCGUCCUACAGCAGCCUGCCUCCUCUUUCCUUUCAACAUGACAGAUGCCACUAUGUCCUUUGCCAAGGACUUCCUGGCAGGUGGAGUGGCCGCAGCCAUCUUCAAGACGGCGGUAGCGCCCAUCGAGCAGGUCAAGCUGCUGCUGCAGGUACAGCAUGCCAGCAAGCAGAUCACUGCAGAUAAGCAAUACAAGGGUAUUAUAGACUGCGUGGUCCGUAUUCCCAAGGAGCAGGGAGUCCUGUCCUUCUGGCACGGUAACCUGGCUAAUGUCAUCAGAUACUUCCCCACCCAGGCCCUUAACUUCGCCUUCAAAGAUAAAUACAAGCAGAUCUUCCUGGGUGGUGUGGACAAGAGGACCCAGUUUUGGUGCUACUUUGCAGGGAAUCUGGCAUCAGUCAGUGCUGCUGGGUCCACAUCCUUGUGUUUUGUGUACCCUCUUGAUUUUGCCCGUACCCGUCUAGCAACAGAUGUGGGUAAAGCUGGAGCUGAAAGGGAAUUCCGAGGCCUCGGCGACUGCCUGGUUAAGAUCUACAAAUCUGAUGGGAUUAAGGGCCUGUACCAAGGCUUUAAUGUGUCUGUGCAGGGUAUUAUCAUCUACCGAGCUGCCUACUUCGGUAUCUAUGACACUGCAAAGGGAAUGCUUCCAGAUCCCAAGAACACUCACAUCGUUAUCAGCUGGAUGAUCCCACAGACUGUCACUGCUGUUGCUGGGUUGACUUCCUAUCCAUUUGACACUGUUCGCUGCCGCAUGAUGAUGCAGUCAGGGCGCAAAGGAACUGACAUCAUGUACACAGGCACACUUGACUGCUGGAGGAAGAUUGCUCGUGAUGAAGGAGGCAAAGCUUUCUGCAAGGGUGCAUGGUCCAUUGUUCUCCGAGGCAUAGGUGGUGCUUUUGUUCUUGUAUGAUGAAAUCAAGAAGUACACAUAAGUUAUUUCCUGGGAAUUUUCCCUCUGUGAACAGGCAUGUGGUAUUAUAUAACAUAUCUUGAGCAUUCUCGACAGACUCCUGGCUGUCAAUUUAUCUGUGGCAACUAUUUACUGGUUGAAAAUGGGAAGCAAUAAUAUUCAUCUGACCAGUUUUCUCUUAAAGCCAUUUCCAUGAUGAUGAUGAUGGGACUCAAUUAUAUUUUUUAUUUCAGUCACUCCUGAUAAAUAUCAAAUUUGGAGAAAUAAAAAUAUCUAAAAUAAAAAAAAUCUAACAUUUUAAAAUAGAGGUUUAAAAUAUUUUAAAUAUUUAUUAAAUAGAGUUUAUAUAGGUGCUUUCUUGUUGCCUAGAUUUUUUUGUUUUUUUUUUUUUUUUAUUUGGUUUUUAGAUAAGUAAAUAUAGAUUUUUAUAGCAAACUCCUUACUGGUUAUCCUCCAGUUUUGCUUCUCUUAGGUGAAGCUGAGCAUGUUCUUCAGUGGUUUGAAAUUCUUCAGUUCUUCAAUAUAAACCUCAACACUCUCACAUGAUUUACAAGCCCACCAUAAGGUACCCCUUCCUCCUCCUCCUUCUCUUUUAUCCUUUCCCAGUACUUAUCCUGUGAACCAUUUUUACCACUGCUGAGCCUUUACUCAUCAGUGACCUUGACAUAACUCCUUUCUUUAAGCAGCUAACUCCUCAGCCUGUCAGUUAAGACCUACCUCUGGCAUUGCCCUUUCCCACAAACCAUCUGUGACCCAUCUCCAUGGGUCAUAUCACCACUGUAGGUUCUUUUCUGUCUCCUCCAGUAGACUGAGGAAAAGAAUCCUCGUAUCUUUACAGUUCUGUCAAUCAAUGAAUGUUUUCUAAAUAAUUACAUAGCUUUAACAUUAUCAUAUUCUUGCAAUUCCUGAUAUAAGGGAUAUGUGUAUUUUUAGAAAUAAUUUAGCCAGUAUUUUCACAGUAAUACAGGGAAUAUGUUGUGUCUUCUAGUUUUCCACAAUUAUGUUAAUUUCCUUUUAGUACAAGAAAAAAAUGCCACAUAGCAAAGUAGAUUUUGAUACCUGCAAAAAUUGUUCUUACUAGAGUUUUUGUUUGCUUUAUCUAAUAUCAAUUUGACAAGUAUUUGUCAAUAUCCAGUACUAGGUAUAUGUUAUGAACACCACAAUAGAAACACCUCACACAUGAGUCAGUGUGUUAGCUCAGGCUGCUAUAACAAAAUGCCAUAGACUGGGUAGCUUCUCACUUCAAUUUUCUCACUGUUCUGGAGCCUGGAGGUCCAGGAUCAGGGUACUGGCAUGGCUUGAUUCUGGUGAGGGCCUUCUUUCUGACUUCAGGUGGUCAGGCUUCAGGCCUUUCUCUAAGAAUAGAAAGUGGGCUGCAGUUAACUGAGAACUUACUAUAUCUUUAAACUACUUCAGUGGUGAUGCUUGAAUUAAUAUUAAUCCACUAUUGUAGAGUUUUAUCUUGUUUUGUUGAAGAGCAAAAUUUUUUUUACCUGGGAGUCACUCAUCUCACAUGUAAAAAAAAAGUGUUUAAGCAAUUUUUUGGAACAGAUCUAAAAGAAAAAAGAUUGCUGGGAAGGAUGGUUUCCAAUAAAAAUGGAGUGCAUAGUAUUUAAAACAAAUCCUUUUUACCAUAUGAGAAAUUGUGGCUGUGGAUGGAAAGAAUUGAUGAUUUUACCAAUGAUAAACUUUUGAAACAGGUAAAGAAAAUGAAACUAUCAGUACCAUGUAAAGGUGGUUUUAAAACAUAAUUUUAAAUACUCAAUGUGACACCAAAGAACUCAUCCCAGCCCUGAGGAUGUUCAUGCUGUGGGGAGAAAGACCUAGUUGCAGAGGGCUUUCUCUAGCAUGAGCUUCUACAGGCUUUCUUUUUAAAUUUUGUUUUUACUGUUAUCAAAGCAAUAUGUCUAUGUUUUUCAAAGUCAGAAAGCUCUUCAGUUUAAAGAAAGAUAGAAGCCAUCUGUCUCAUUCCUCCUCGACCUGAGCCCCAUUCCUUAGAAGCAAACUAUUGACUUAUGCUGUGGAAGGGUCUCACACAAUUCUACCACCAGCAGCACACUCAGGCUUGAGUGAGCACAAGCAUACUAGUCCUCCCUUAAUCACAGUUUCGCUUUCCACGGUUUCAGUUAAACUGCAGUCAAUCACAGUCUGGAAAUAUCGAAAUGGGAAAUUUCAGAAAUAAGUAAUUUAUCCAUUUGAAAUUGUGGGCCGUUAUGAAGAGCAUGAUGGUGCAAUAGCACCAUCCUGUUCCAUUCCACCUGGCAAAUGAAUUAUUCAUUUGUCCAGCAUCUCUGAGCUGUGUAUGCCACCUGCCUCAGUUACCUGUUAGUCACAUAGCAGUUAGUUGUCUUGGUUAUCAGAGUAAAGGUAUCGUAGUGCUUACGUUCAAGUAACCCUUAUUUUACUUAAUGACCCCAAAUUGUAAGAGUAGUGAUGUUGGCAUAUUGUUAUAAUUAUUCUAUUUUAUCGUUAGUUACUGUUGUUAAUCUCUUACUAUGCCUAAUUUAUAAAUUAAACUUUACCAUAGGUAUGUAUAUACAUAAAAUCGUACUUAUAUAUAUAGUAUAUAUAGGGUUUGGUACUAUCUGUGGUUUCAAGCAUCCCCUGGGGAUCUUGGAACAUAUGCCCCCAUGGAUAAGGGGGGAUUACUGUAAACAUCCUUCUCCAUCUCUCCCUUCUCCAACCAAUUAUUGGUUAUAUUAGAAUUCCAUAUUUACAUUACUGUCACUAUAAGUAUUGCUCAUAGCUGAACGGUAAAAAAUAAUGACUUUUAUUCUUAUAGUUGAUUUGUGAUUUAGGUAUAGCAUUCUAGAUUGAAACUAAUUUUUCUGCAGAGUUUUGAAGACAUUAUACCUUUUAAUUUUCUUAUUUUUCAGUGUUACUGUUAAAUUUAAUGCCAUUUUAUUUUCUGGUUCUUUGUAGGUAACCUGAUUUGUCUAAGUCUUUAGGGUAUUCUUGUUAUCUUUAUGAAUCUGAAAUUUUACAAUAAUGUGAACAACAUGAGGGUCUUUUUUCAUUCAUUGGGCUGUUUUCUGAUUGGACCCUUUGGUUAAAAAGGCCCAUGUCCGGUUUAGGGAUAUUUUCUCUUAACAUUUCUUCAAUAAUUGCUUCCUAUGUUUUCUUCUCUCUUUUUGGAACUGAUUAUUUUGACAGAGUUAUACUCUAAUUAUCUUUUUUCUUUAAUUUUGUUUGGUAGGUUUUCUUAAUUUCAUCUUUCAACCCCCCUUUAUUUUCGAACAUUUUUUCCUAAUGUAACAAGAACUGCUUGACCCCUGGAUGGGAUCUUUUCUUAUGGUAUUGUGUUCUUGUUUCAUAGCUAUUAUAAUGCCUUUUCUCUAAGGAUGUUCAUUUAAGAAAUUUAUUUUUCUACUUCUUGCAUCUUCUCUUCCUUAGAGUCUCCAUUUCUGUUUGAUAUGUCUUUCCAUAUUAAGAAUUGUUCUUUCUAGGCCGGGCGCAGUGGCUCACGCCUAUAAUCCCACUUUGGGAGGCCAAGGCGGGUGGAUCACGAGGUCAAGAGAUCGAGACCAUCCUGGUCAACAAGGUGAAAACCCGUCUCUACUAAAAAUACAAAAAUUAGCUGGGCAUGGUGGUGCGCGCCUGUAGUCCCAGCUACUAGGGAGGCUGAGGCAGGAGAAUUGCUUGAACCCAGGAGGCGGAGGUUGCGGUGAGCCGAGACCGUGCCAUUGCACUCCAGCCUGGGUAACAACAGCGAAAAUCUGUCUCAAAAAAAAACACAAGAAUUGUUCUUUCUUGACUAUUAGUUUAUUUUUAUUUGUAAGGCACUGAGAAGCUCUUUGGAAGUUCUAUGUGUGGGGUCAGGACUUGUUUACUGGUGGGUCUCACUAUUAAGUGAAGGAAGAAAUUGGCUAUUUCAUUGAGGUGAGGCUCCCAAAUGUCAGUAUUGGAAGGAAGUCUUUCUUCCUAGACAACUGGCCAAUUUCCAGAGUAAUUUUCUAACUUCCUGAGUGUAAAAUAUAAGUUUUAUACAUUCAGACGUAUGUGAGAGAUAGAGCACAUGGGCGGAGAAGUCUUACACGUUGGUAUUCAGACUUUUAUUCAAUCCACGCUCCAUGGCUGUCCGCAGGUUCAGAGCUUGUGUGUUUUAGUUUCUUCUGAGAGUAAACAGCCCUUCUUCUGAUGGGGUAAGAGAGGCACAGUCUAGGGAAAGGAAUGAGGGGAGUCUAAUUGCUUUUAUAUAGUCUUUCUUUUUUUGUUUGUGUUUUCUUUUUAGACAGGGUCUUGCCCUGUCACCCAGGCUGAAGUGCAAUGGUAUGAUCAUGGCUCACUGCAUUCUCGAUCUCCUGGGCUCAAGUGAUCACUACAGGCACACAACACCGGGCACAGCUAAUUAUUAUUAUUAUUUUGAGAACUGGGUCUCACUUUGUUGCCCAGGCUGGUCUCAAACUCUUGGGCUUAAGCAGUCCUCCAUCUUGGCCUCCUAAUGUGCUGGGAUUUCAGGUGUGAGCCACCAUGCCAAAAGACUUUCAGUUAAUCCUGGUUUUCAUCUUUGUCACCUACACUGGCAUUUUUAAUUUUCACUCACUUUUCUAGAGUUAGCCCAAUUCACCUGUUUUGUUUUUUAUUAUGUACUUCCUGUUGGGUUUAAGUUUCAGCUUUUCUGUGCUAAGUCAGUUAUUCUUCCAGUUUUUUUUUCUUAUUUUCCAAAUUUUGAAAGAUUUCUCUUUCCUGGAGAUUUCUUUCUUGUUAACUUAUCCUUUUAUUGUGAUUUUUUGGUAGGGUUUACAGAGAAGCCUAAGAAAAAGGCUUUUUUGUUUACCCAAGAAUCAGGCUGCUUUCUUAUUGUUUAAAGCUAUUAUUUUAGGUUUAUAUGAGUUAGGAAAUCUUCCCAGUCAUUCUGUCUUUCCAUAGACAUUUUCCUGUAGAUGUUACACAGUUUAGAAGGUGACACAACUGAUGGUGAUCAUUUUGUGUGUCAUAUAUGGCUAAAGAGACUAAUAUUAAGUAGCUUUUACGAUGCUAUAAUUAAAGGCCGAUCAUCUUUGAAUUUAAGAUUACAAAAAGAGGACUGCCAUUUAGAGGAGAAUGCCGAUUGAGCUACCUAAAAGAAUGAAAGAGAAAUAUAUGGAAGAAAGAAGUUAGAGUAAAACAUGUACUACACUGAAAGAAAAUGUUGGAGAAGCAGUAUUUGCUUGCCAGAAAGAUAAGUAGACUCAGAAAUGAGGGUGAUGCUGCCCAAGCAAGAUCCAGGUAUAUUUUGUGUCCUUGCUUCUGCAGUGCACAUUAUUUCACAUCUUAACAUUUCUGAAAUGGUUUUUUAACUUGGGUAGAUGUGUACAUUUAAUAUUGGAGGAUUUCUUCCCCCCACCCUCAAAUCUACCGUUGAAUGAUAGGUUUAUUUUAUAAUUCAAGUGUCUUAAAAAUGAAGAAAUAGGCUGGGUAUGGUGGCUCAUGCCUGUAAUCCCAGCACUUUGGGAGGCCAAGGCGGGAGGAUUGUUUAAGCCCUGGAGUUUGAAACCACAUAGUGAGAACUCGUCUCUGUUAAAUAUAUAUAUAUAUAUAUAUAUAUAUAUACACACACACACACACACACACACACAAUGAAAUAGAGUUCUUUGGAAGUCUCGUUUAUGAUCCUAGAAUUUACCUUAUCUUAUCCCCGAUUAACUCAGUUUAUUCUUAUUUAGUUUAAUGUCACAGAAAUUUGCUAAGUACUUGCUGUGAGGUGGGGAGUGGGGAAGAGCAGAAAGUUAAAGAAAGAUGGCUAAAUUGUAGUCCUUAUCCUCCAGGAAUCUGUAAUCUUUUUUUUUUUAAUCACCAAGGGAAUUUGUAAUCUAUGAGAAGACACCUGAAAACAACUAACCAAGUAGGAGAGCAAAGUCAAUAUAAUCAGCAGAUUAUUUGGGUAGCAAAGAGAAAGGUUUAUUCUGACAUGUAAGUGGGAAUUAGGAAAGGCCCUGACAUUGAAGUCAGACCUAGAUCAGAAGCUGCCUUUAUCAUGUACAGCCAACCGGGCGCGGUGACUCAUGCCUGUAAUCCCAGCACUUUGGGAGGCCCAGGCAGCUGGAUCGCUUGAGUCCAGGAGUUCAAGACCAGCCUGGGUGAGAUGGUAAAGCCCCCUGUCUAUAAAUAAAGUACAAAAAUUAGCUGGAUGUGUUUGCAUGUGCCUAUAAUCCCAAUUAUUUGGGAGGCUGAGGCAGAAAGAUCACUUGAGCCUGGGAGGUGGAGGUUGCAGUGAGCUGAGAUUGUGCCACUGCACUUCAGCCUGGGCAACGAGUGAAACCCUGUUGUACAGCAACAUGUACAGCAAUUAGAGAGUAAUUCAGGGGUCCCCAACCCCCAGGCCAUAGACCUGUUAGGAACUGGACCACCCAGCAGGAGGUAAAUGGCAGGCCAGUGAGCUAAACUUUAUCUGUAUUUACAGCCCCUCCCCAUGGCUUAUAUUAGUGCUUGAGCUCUGCCUCCUGUUAGGUAAGCAGUGGCAUUAGAUUCUCAUAGGAACACGAAUCCUGUUGCAAACUGCAUGUGAGGGAUCUAGGUUGCGUACUCCUUAUAAGAGUCUAAUGCCUGAUGAUCUAUCACUGUCUCCCAUUACUCCCAGAUGGGACUGUGUAGUUGCCCAAAAACAAACUCAGGGCUCCCACUGAUUCUACGUUAUAGUGAACUGUAUGAUUAUUUCAUUAUAUAUUACAGUGAAAUAAUAGAAAUAAAGUACACAAUAAAUGUAAUGUGCUUGAAUCAUCCUCAAACCACCACCACCCCCAACCCCUGUCUGUGGAAAAACUGUCUUCCAUGAAACUGGGCCCUGGUGCCACAAAGGUUGGGGACCGCUGGAGUAACUGACUUCGAAUAGGGGUUGUGGUAGGAUAUAAAACUAGAAUGUCAAUUUAAGGAGUUUGAUCUUUAUUCAGUAGGCAAUGGGAAUCGAGGUAGCAAGAGCUAACCUUUAAGGGAGAAAACUUACGGGGUUGAGACAUCAAGAUCACAGGAGUAUCUGUUGCAAGAGUCUUGCAAGAGAUGGCAAAGGCUGUGAUAGUGACAACUGUGAUGGUAGUUCUACUAUGGGAGUCCAAAAAAAAAUGAAACCCCUGUGGACUGGAAGGGCUAUAAGCAGAGCCUGAGAUAGGUUCUGUGAAGAGUGAGUAGGAGUCAACAACAGCCCUGUUAUAAACUUGAAUUUUAAAUUAGUUUUAUUGUACCACAGCAUAUCUCAGUGACAACAAAGCAAACAAAUAUUAUUUAGCAUUUUAUUUCAACCAAAUAAAAGUUGAUUAAAAGUGAAAUCUUAUUUCCCGAUAUUUGAGUCUUUCAGGUAUAUAUAUUUUUAAAAACUGUUCUCUUCAAGUUUAAGGGUUAGCGUGUCAGGAAUUAAUUAAGCCCUGUAGUCAUACGAGAUAGGAAAAAGUGGACCUGAAAAUGAGGACAAGAGAAGGACAAAUUGCAGAAAUGAGGACAUAUAACUCUUCAGAAGAAUGUGUCGCACAAUAGAAGGAGUAUUAGCACAUAAGGGUAAAGAAAUAAUGAUUUGUAGUGUCAUAAGAAAAUGACAAAAGAAUGUAAAAGAGUCAUUUAUAGAGGAUGAGGGGGUAGUAGGCUAAAAUUCCUCAAGUCAAAAUUAAUAAAUUAAGACGAAUUAUUAAGG